Long non-coding RNA from Phyllopteryx taeniolatus (common seadragon), 731 nucleotides. RefSeq lists it as uncharacterized. Lineage: Eukaryota; Metazoa; Chordata; Actinopteri; Syngnathiformes; Syngnathidae. The transcript is spliced from 3 exons. The record is from RefSeq and is a predicted model, not a curated record.
AUUUGAACAACUGUGUCUUUGGUUUGCGUUGUUUUUUAUUUUGAAGUGAAGGACCGGAAGUCACGUGUCCAUAGUAUUUUCCCGGUGGUUACCUGGCGGAAAGAGAGAUGAUGGAUUUGUCUUUAUUUUACGUCUCCGGCGGCUGUCAUUGAUGAAUGAUAGCCCCCCCCCCACCAUCUUCUCCGACAUGCCCCCCGAGUCUUCAGCUAAUGUCUUGGCAAAAUGUCGGAUUUCGAAGAAUUUGAGAAGCAGCUGAGCGAGAACCGUCAAGGACAACAGCGCCAUCUGCUGGCCGGACACCCCUCACCGAGCCUGAGGUUGCUGUUGACGCCAUCGUUGCGGUCUGCCUCUCCUUUGACCUUAUGUUGUACCUGACCGGAACUUCCUCGCCAUCUGUAUCUCCAAGUGCAUCUGAACACGCCUGUGAGUGUCUUUAUUGUCGCUUCAUCGCUGAUUAUAUCCCAAGUGGUCAUAAAUUGCUGUCGACGGUCAUCGAGUUACAGUUGGAAAUGUGUACUUGCACCUUCGUCCUAAAUCCUAAUUUGAGACCCUUGUGACCCUCAUUUUGGCCGAUUGAUUGGUUGGGCCCUAUUUGAAACUCUAAACCUGGUCUUGAAACCUUAGCCUUCAAGACAGAGGCAAGUGCAAUCGUAUCGUACUGACCGGUGUCGAUCCGUUUCCUCUUUUUAGUUGCAAUUGUGUAAAUUCGCAAAAGUGUGCCAUUUUUAUUU